GAAAAAAAUAGCUCUUUUAGAAUUUGUCUAGCAUUUUUCCAGUUUUCACUGGAAA
This 55-nucleotide small nuclear RNA is filed under the name Prolemur simus (greater bamboo lemur). RNAcentral describes it as "U7 small nuclear RNA (ENSPSMG00000001375.1)". It matches the Rfam family "U7 small nuclear RNA". Rfam says of the family: Animal histone pre-mRNAs are spliced by a different mechanism than nuclear pre-mRNAs and self-splicing introns. This processing involves the U7 snRNP, which contains only one RNA species: U7. The 5' end of U7 RNA is thought to base-pair to a conserved spacer element downstream of the cleavage site in histone pre-mRNA. Lineage: Eukaryota; Metazoa; Chordata; Mammalia; Primates; Lemuridae. The record is from RNAcentral.